Molecule: ribosomal RNA, 2211 nt
Filed under: Escherichia coli
Lineage: Bacteria; Pseudomonadati; Pseudomonadota; Gammaproteobacteria; Enterobacterales; Enterobacteriaceae
Description: partial 23S ribosomal RNA
Rfam family: Bacterial large subunit ribosomal RNA
Source: RNAcentral
GGGUUGUGAGGUUAAGCGACUAAGCGUACACGGUGGAUGCCCUGGCAGUCAGAGGCGAUGAAGGACGUGCUAAUCUGCGAUAAGCGUCGGUAAGGUGAUAUGAACCGUUAUAACCGGCGAUUUCCGAAUGGGGAAACCCAGUGUGUUUCGACACACUAUCAUUAACUGAAUCCAUAGGUUAAUGAGGCGAACCGGGGGAACUGAAACAUCUAAGUACCCCGAGGAAAAGAAAUCAACCGAGAUUCCCCCAGUAGCGGCGAGCGAACGGGGAGCAGCCCAGAGCCUGAAUCAGUGUGUGUGUUAGUGGAAGCGUCUGGAAAGGCGCGCGAUACAGGGUGACAGCCCCGUACACAAAAAUGCACAUGCUGUGAGCUCGAUGAGUAGGGCGGGACACGUGGUAUCCUGUCUGAAUAUGGGGGGACCAUCCUCCAAGGCUAAAUACUCCUGACUGACCGAUAGUGAACCAGUACCGUGAGGGAAAGGCGAAAAGAACCCCGGCGAGGGGAGUGAAAAAGAACCUGAAACCGUGUACGUACAAGCAGUGGGAGCACGCUUAGGCGUGUGACUGCGUACCUUUUGUAUAAUGGGUCAGCGACUUAUAUUCUGUAGCAAGGUUAACCGAAUAGGGGAGCCGAAGGGAAACCGAGUCUUAACUGGGCGUUAAGUUGCAGGGUAUAGACCCGAAACCCGGUGAUCUAGCCAUGGGCAGGUUGAAGGUUGGGUAACACUAACUGGAGGACCGAACCGACUAAUGUUGAAAAAUUAGCGGAUGACUUGUGGCUGGGGGUGAAAGGCCAAUCAAACCGGGAGAUAGCUGGUUCUCCCCGAAAGCUAUUUAGGUAGCGCCUCGUGAAUUCAUCUCCGGGGGUAGAGCACUGUUUCGGCAAGGGGGUCAUCCCGACUUACCAACCCGAUGCAAACUGCGAAUACCGGAGAAUGUUAUCACGGGAGACACACGGCGGGUGCUAACGUCCGUCGUGAAGAGGGAAACAACCCAGACCGCCAGCUAAGGUCCCAAAGUCAUGGUUAAGUGGGAAACGAUGUGGGAAGGCCCAGACAGCCAGGAUGUUGGCUUAGAAGCAGCCAUCAUUUAAAGAAAGCGUAAUAGCUCACUGGUCGAGUCGGCCUGCGCGGAAGAUGUAACGGGGCUAAACCAUGCACCGAAGCUGCGGCAGCGACGCUUAUGCGUUGUUGGGUAGGGGAGCGUUCUGUAAGCCUGUGAAGGUGUGCUGUGAGGCAUGCUGGAGGUAUCAGAAGUGCGAAUGCUGACAUAAGUAACGAUAAAGCGGGUGAAAAGCCCGCUCGCCGGAAGACCAAGGGUUCCUGUCCAACGUUAAUCGGGGCAGGGUGAGUCGACCCCUAAGGCGAGGCCGAAAGGCGUAGUCGAUGGGAAACAGGUUAAUAUUCCUGUACUUGGUGUUACUGCGAAGGGGGGACGGAGAAGGCUAUGUUGGCCGGGCGACGGUUGUCCCGGUUUAAGCGUGUAGGCUGGUUUUCCAGGCAAAUCCGGAAAAUCAAGGCUGAGGCGUGAUGACGAGGCACUACGGUGCUGAAGCAACAAAUGCCCUGCUUCCAGGAAAAGCCUCUAAGCAUCAGGUAACAUCAAAUCGUACCCCAAACCGACACAGGUGGUCAGGUAGAGAAUACCAAGGCGCUUGAGAGAACUCGGGUGAAGGAACUAGGCAAAAUGGUGCCGUAACUUCGGGAGAAGGCACGCUGAUACGUAGGUGAAGCGACUUGCUCGUGGAGCUGAAAUCAGUCGAAGAUACCAGCUGGCUGCAACUGUUUAUUAAAAACACAGCACUGUGCAAACACGAAAGUGGACGUAUACGGUGUGACGCCUGCCCGGUGCCGGAAGGUUAAUUGAUGGGGUCAGCGCAAGCGAAGCUCUUGAUCGAAGCCCCGGUAAACGGCGGCCGUAACUAUAACGGUCCUAAGGUAGCGAAAUUCCUUGUCGGGUAAGUUCCGACCUGCACGAAUGGCGUAAUGAUGGCCAGGCUGUCUCCACCCGAGACUCAGUGAAAUUGAACUCGCUGUGAAGAUGCAGUGUACCCGCGGCAAGACGGAAAGACCCCGUGAACCUUUACUAUAGCUUGACACUGAACAUUGAGCCUUGAUGUGUAGGAUAGGUGGGAGGCUUUGAAGUGUGGACGCCAGUCUGCAUGGAGCCGACCUUGAAAUACCACCCUUUAAUGUUUGAUGUUCUAACGU